GUGCUUGCUUCAGCAGCACAUAUACUAAAAUUGGAAUGAUACAGAAAGAUUAGCAUGGCCCCUGAGCAAGGAUGACAUGCAAAUUCAUGAAGCAUUCCAUGUUUUU
This 106-nucleotide small nuclear RNA is filed under the name Dasypus novemcinctus (nine-banded armadillo). The record is from RNAcentral. Lineage: Eukaryota; Metazoa; Chordata; Mammalia; Cingulata; Dasypodidae.